This 17569-nucleotide long non-coding RNA is filed under the name Setaria viridis. RNAcentral describes it as "long non-coding RNA (SVIR_LNC008557)". Lineage: Eukaryota; Viridiplantae; Streptophyta; Magnoliopsida; Poales; Poaceae. The record is from RNAcentral.
UCGGUAGUGGCAGCUUGUCACCGGCAAUUGAUAAUUGCAGCCUGUAUGGCCGCGGGACCUAGUAGUCUCAUCCACUAUAUCUUCAGCUGUUGCAUUCGUAAUCGGUGGUAUGUAGGUGCAUUUACUUUAUUUUCUUUCUGCAUUGUUUUUCCCUACUAAAAAUUGUUUUGUUUGGGGCUUGCUAUUAACAUUUGCAUUAUGUGCUUGCAGGAGCAGAGGACUAAUAUUCAGAAGGAACGCAGAAGGUUGGUCGAUGCAAGAUUAAGAGAAGUUGAAUAACGAGGUAAGUCCUUCAGCUCUUCUUUUAUUUGGUGCACCGGCCUUUUAAUGACACCAUGUUACUUUCAGCUCGUAUUAGUUGAAAUGUACAUGUUAUUUAUACCUCAUCCAUGUGGCAUACCCCCUCUUCCAAAUAAGGCUUUACAAUAUGGAACACUGCAUCUGUGCUAAUGCGUGACUUUGUUGCUGAAUAGAGAGUGAUUGCAAAAUUAAUAAGCUCUUAUGAAAUUGUAAUACGCUUCCUACAGAGAGAGAUUUUGCCCAUUUGCCAUGAUUAUCUACUGUUGUGCUACCAGACUACCAUAAUAGAGGUGGGUAAGCUCCUAGUUUAGUGUCAGGUUCUGCACAAAGGCCUAUUCGUCUGACAAACAGGCAAGGGUUGUUCCAACACUACUAGUCAUCUAGUCCCCCCUUUCCCAUUGUCCUGAAAAAAUCAUUGACAUUUGGAUACCCUUGGAUAAUUGUAUUCAACACAGUACAGUCACGGGCCCACUCACACCAUAUUGCUGCAAACACUGUAUCCCUCUGUCCCCUUACAAUCCAUAUUGCUGCUGUCCUCCUGAAGUUCUUUUCAUUGCGACUGCUUCACCAGUGUGCUGGUUUUGGUGAACGUGUUGUUGUGGGCUUGUGGCAAGUAUUUGAUUUUAGCAAGGUGAAUGGUUCGCAGCUUGGCAUGCAUCAGUGAGCAAGUAGCUGGUUUAACACACUGCUGCCAGUCUGCCGUGUAGUGAGAUCCUGAUUGUUUUCGGCGAGUACUAUGCUAGGCGGAGGUUGAUGUUAUUCAGUCUUGUGGCAUAACGGCACUCUUCCAGAUCUGUGAAAGAUACCAGUCGCCAGACUGAUCAGAAAGAUAUCAUUUCAUUGCCUCACACAAUGUAUUUGUGCUCAUUUGCUUAACACUAUUGAUUUCAUCAUGUGGCUCAUUGUAACUUGCAUUUUCUUGAGACUUCAAAAAGUUUAUUAGUACUUGUGUGUUUUGGCCUUCAAGUUUUUUAGCCUUCAGAUGCGCAAAGCUGUUCAUACUGACUGACAAGAUGAAUUUUUUUUGAAACGAACCUGGCAGGAGAGCUGCCGAUUAUGUUAAAAAGAAGAAAUCCAGACUGGAUAAAUACAAUCGAUCAAAAAUGAAAUAAGGCAAAAACUGAACCAGAAAAACAAAACAACACUAUGAACUCAAUCGCAAUCAGCAUCGCGCCAGUAAAGUGGAGAGAUGUUUCGCUCCCGCCAUAAUCCACACGGCAGCCUCGUCUUUGAUCCUCUCAAAGAUCAUGUUGACAGUAGACUCCUUACUGUUAAAUAUUCUCAUAUUCCUUUCCCUCCAGAUUGUCCAUGUAACUAGCAUGAUCAAAGUUCGCAUGCCUCUCUUAGAGCAGGAAUUUGCUCCCGAUCUCAUCGACCACCAGUGAUGCAGCGUAUCUGCUUGUUGCCAGGCCCUCGGGUGGAUUGCUGGCGCUGACAACCAGUCCACCACCAUGGCCCAGAUUCUUGUUGUGACCCGGCAUUCGGCGAAGAGGUGUAACGCUGAUUCUUGUGAUCUUCGACAUAGUGGGCAGGUAGCUUGAUUUGGCCAUCCCCUUUUCUGAAGCUUGUUAGCAGUCCAAAGCCGAUUUUGGAUUGUGAGCCAGGAGAAGGUUUUGCAGCUUCUAGGAGCCCAUAUUUUCCAAAUCAAGCUGUCAAAGUUGGUGGAUGCCGAACCAAUGAACUGUGCGUCGUAAGUGGAUUUUGCGGAGUAGCUACCAUCUGCAGUAAACUUCCAAGUGAUUUCAUCUUGGACACUCGGGCGCAGGGCUACUUGUUGUACGACUUGCCACAGAAGGAUGAAUUCUCGAAAGUGCUGUACAAAGAACCUAUUGUGGUGUAUGUUGAUAUCCUGGAUCCAUGUUCGGUUGUGAAGCGCGUCACGUAAACUCUUGUUCUUCCUUUCUGAAAUGGAGAAAAUACCUGGCGCUAUGUCCUUUGGCCUUUGGCCUUGAACCCAGGCACUAUUCCAAAAGGAAGUUUUUGCUCCAUCGCCUACGUCGAUGCGUGUACAUGCCGCAAAUAAUUUCCUAUCCGUGUUAUUACAUGGAACCUCGGAGCCCACCGAAAGCUUGUCUUCCGCUUUCCACUCAUGCCAAAGCCAUCUGAGCCUCAGUCCUCUUGCAAACUUGUAGAUGUUUAAAAUACCUUCUCCCCCCAGUCUUGUCGGCCUGGCAGACCUUCGCCAAUUCACUUCGCAUUUUCCCCUUGUUAAUGUCGCCGCCCCUGCCCAAAAGAACUUCUUGCGCUUAGCGUCGAUUUUCUUCGUCACCUCUUUGGGGGCCUCCAUUGCCGACAGGAGGUAUACCGCCUGCGAUGUUAAUACUAAUUUGGUGAGUGCUAGGAGGCCCGCCAUAGUCAUGUUCCUCGCAUUCCACGCAGUGAGCUUGCAGGUCGCCUUGUCUAUGACCAACUGGAAGUGUACUCUCUUGAGCCUUGACGUCGUUAGUGGAAGACCAAGAUAUCGCACCAGAAAGGAAGACCGUGUGAUUGGAAUGCCUCCAAAGAUGUCGUCCAUAUUGAGCUCCUCGCAUCUUAUAGGCACCACACUUGAUUUCUCGAAAUUUGUUCUCAACCCCGACGCAUCACCAAAUCUAGUGAGGAGGUCAGCUAAAGCAAUGACAUCCUGCCUAGUCGGAUUUAGGAAAAUAGCUGUGUCGUCGGCGUACAUGGAUGUUUGGAAAUUGAGGGACCUGCCUCGCAGCUUGGAUAUGAACCCUCUUUCAGUGGCCUGCUCCAAUAAAGCUCGUAGCGGUUCGAUUGCAAUCACAAAAGGUAAAGGAGAUAAAGGAUCUCCUUGCUAUAGUCCUCUGUUGUGCCUGAUGGGGCUGUUUGGGACCCCAUUGAGAAGGAUCCUAGAUGAAGAUGUGUAGAAUAGAGAGGCCAUCCAUUCCCGCCAACAAAUGGGGAAGCCCAAGCGUUGAAGUAAACCUAGCAGGUAAUCCCAUCUCACCGAAUCAAACGCUUUGGCGAUGUCAAGCUUAAAAAUUAGUGUCGCAAUUUGUUGCCGAUGGUAGCGAUGUGCCAUGCUCCUGACUGUCAUAAAAUUAUCGUGGAUGCUCCUUUGCUUGAUGAAAGCCAAUUGUGAUUGUGACACAAUGUUUUUCAUGUGCAGAGCCAGCCGCAUGGCGAGCACCUUUGUAAUAAUCUUGAUGAAUGAGUGUAUCAAGCUUAUCGGUCUGAAGUCAGGGACUGCCUCGGCCCCUUCCUUUUUUGGCAACAACACUACGUUGGCCGUGUUGAUUAAAGGCAGGCUCAUGCAACGCAAGUUAUGAAAAGCAUUGGCCGUGUUUAUUUUUUUUUUCUAGAAUACGCAGGAGAGCUGCGCAUCAUUCCAUUAAGAAGAGAUGGAAAUAAUAAUACAACGCGGGCCUAUACCGGGCACACGCACACGGGCAGUAUAACACAGUGCCGAUUACAGGAUUCUGGAGCUACCAAAGAAGACCUUAAGUCCUAACAUCACUGAGUCACAAAACACCAACCCACACUGUGGAGACAAAGCGCCCCGGCUAUGUACCAGGCCGCCGCUUCCGCCGCGACUGCAUCCGCUAGCUGCUGCGGUGUCCUUUGAAUGUUUCCGGCGAAGACCCGAUUAUUGCGCUCUUUCCAAAUGAGCCAGGAGACUAAGGUGAAAGUGGAGUCGAAUCCUCGCUUACUAGCGCCAUGAAAUCCUCGUCUCCGGAGUAACCACCAAUCCAAUAGUGAAGACCCGGCAGCUGGCAAGGAUGAGGCGUUUCCGGUCAGUUGGUCAACUACGUGCCAUACCUGCUGUGUGUAGCUGCAGGUUGCAAGCAGGUGGUCAGAGGUCUCAGACUCCUGGCAGCAUAGACAGCAAUCGUCCCAGCUUUGUAACCCAUGCUUCAUCCGACGAGCCGAUGUCCAGAGCCGCUGCCUUGUAGCAGUCCACAUGAAGAGCUUAACUCGGAGGGGAGCCCACGCUCGCCAGAUGCAUCGGAAGGCCGGAGAUUGAACAGACCCCACGAAGAAGAAAUUGUACGCUGACUUGGCCGAGUAUGAGCCUGACUUCUCCCAACGCCACACAAUCCUAUCCUCAACUCCUUCCUGUAACUGGACGUUGGAUACCGCAUGCCAUAGCUGAACAUAUUGUGCAAUUGCAGCCACUGUUAGUGUCCCGACAAUGUCCCGGAUCCAACUUUUCUCCAUGAGAGCAGACCCCACUGUUCUUGUACUUCUGACAUGAGGCUUGACCAUUAGGCACAGAUCAGGAGCAAGAAUGCAAGGAGAUAGGGAGUCCAGCCAUUGAUCCUCCCAGAAAAGUGCGGUGUUCCCACUGCCCAAUUGCACCCUGGUGGAAAUCUGGAAGGCUUUUUUCAAAGUGCUGCUCUUUUCCAGGGUGUUGGCCAAGCAUUUCCAAGGCCGCCGAUCGUCAGUCCUCUUGAACCACAACCAGCGCAAUCGCAGAGCCACCGAAGCCCGACGGAGGUCUUGGAUACCUAGGCCCCCCACUGUUUUAGGUCGGCAGGCAAUUGGCCAGGUCACAAGGCAUUGCCCACCAUUGGCAGUCGGCUUACCAGCCCACAAGAAUCCUUUCUGGAGUUUGUCAAUUUCCUGGAAGACCCAAGCUGGAAUGUCAAGAGAAAUAAGAUUAUAGGUGCAGGUGGCCGUCAGAACCGAUUGGACCACAGUCAUUCUCCCCGCCUUAUUCAUAAGCUGUGCCUUCCAGUUCGGAAUCUUGCUGGCCACCUUAUCAAUCAAAGGUUGGAACUGAUUCUUCCUAAGGCUUCGUACUGACAGUGGCAUACCAAGGUAUUGUAUAGGAAAACCUACAACUUGGGCUGGAAAGAUGCCACGGAUUCUCUCUACCUGCUGAUCACUGCAUGCAAUUGGUGCAAUGGAGCACUUCUGCAGGUUUGUACGGAGUCCAGAAGCAUUACCAAAGAAAUCCAGAAUCCCUCUGAUAGCAAUAGCAUCCUGAACCACAGGCCGUGCAAAGAUGAUCACAUCGUCAGCAUACAACGAGCACUGAUGACAAAUGGUGUUAUCUGCAGGAGGGGCGAGGACACCCAACUCAGCUGCCCUCCUGAGGAGCCGGUGCAGAACUUCCAUGACAAGUAUGAAAAGCAUCGGCGAAAGGGGGUCGCCUUGUCUCAACCCUCUAGCGUUGUCAAUUAGUCGACCGGGGGAGCCGUUGAGCAGCACUCUGGUGGUGGCCGAAGACAGCAGGACAGAGAUCCAGUCCCUCCAGUUAGUCCCAAAGCCCCUCGCUUGGAGGACUUGCAGGAGAAAUGGCCAGCACACCGUGUCAAAAGCUUUAGAGAUAUCUAACUUGAUUAGCAAACUUGGCUUUCUUUUUCUGUACAGAGUCUUCGCAGCAAGCUCAACAAACUUGAAAUUAUCAUGGAUGGAUCUUCCCUUGACAAAAGCGCUCUGAUUAACAUCCACCAAAUUGUGGAGCUCCUUGCUAAGCCGGUUAGCAAGCAACUUCGUAACUAACUUCGCAAAGCUAUGCACCAGGCUGAUAGGCCUGUAGUCAGCAGGUGAGAAGGCAUCCUGUUUUUUCGGUAUCAGUGUGAUUAGAGAGCUGUUUAACCGGCCAAACUGGAUGCAAGCCCCAUGGUAGAGCGCGUCAAAGCAUGCCAGGACGUCGCGUUUGAUCACCGGCCAAGCCGCUCUAUAGAACUCCGCGGUGAAGCCAUCCGGCCCGGGGGCACGCUCUUUAGGUAGCUCGACGAUGGUUCUCCAUAUCUCCUGUUCAGGGAAUGGAGCUUCCAGGGGAUCCAGGUCCAGUGGCAGUAGUCCCAGCGAAGCAAGGUCAAUAGCCUCAGUUCUGGAAGAAGGUGUUCCAAGGAUCAUCCUGAAGUAAUUGUAUAGAAGUAGCUCCUUUUCAUCAUGUGUGAUAGCAAUGACACCGUUGUGCUCAAGUCUAGCUAUAUGUUUCUUCCUCGUGCGGUGACUGGCAUGGAGGUAAAAUAAUUUAGUAUUGGCGUCACCCUCUUUUAGGAAGAGAAGCCUGGACCGUUGGCGUGCAAUGGUGCGCUCAAGGGAAGAGAGGCCAAGGACUUUGCAUUUGAGCUGAGCCCUCAAAUGAGCUUCAUCUGAUGAUAGGGGCCUGACCUCCUGCGCCCGGUCCAGCCACAGGAUUAGAGCUCUGGCUGUCAUGAGCUGCACUUUGACAUCACCCACUUUCCUACUGCUCCACUGCUGCAGCGCCUUGGAGGUCCUCUUAAGCCUCUGGUCAAGGGAGAUGAACGGGUCGUUUGUGGCCGUCGGCCCAUCCCAGGCCCCCUGGACAGCUGCAAGGAAACCGGGCAUUCGAACCCACCAUGGUUCGAAGUGAAAACGACGCUUGGGGAGAUAGCUGGCGUUGGACGCCAAUAAAAGUGGGCAAUGAUCCGAAAUGUCCGUUGAUAGCGCCUGAAGCGUUGCAAAGCAAUAACAAACUUCCCAAUCCACCGACACAAGAACACGAUCAAGCUGUGCCAUAACCGGAGUUUGUCGCUCAUUACUCCAUGUAUAUCUUCUGCCCUGGAGGUAGAUCUCCUUCAGGUUGACAUCAUCCACGAAGCGCCGAAAGCGGCCGAUAUUGCGACGAUUAAUGUUGGAUGUGCUUUUCUCCGAUGCUCGCAAGAUGAGGUUGAAGUCCCCCACGACAAGCCACCUGGACGAUGCCAGCGAGUGAACUAAGCGCAGUUCGUCAAGGAAUUCAACUUUUUCACCGUCUGGCUGAGGUCCGUAAACGUUAGUCAAAGUCCAAGGCGAGUCAUGGCCUUGUAUUUGAGCUGAAAUGGUUAAGGAGUGGCGUCCCCCAUGCAAACGCACACAAGAAACAUCUGGGCUUUUGCAGGCUAUCAGAAUGCCUCCUCUGGUACCUUCGGCCGGCAGAUAGUCGAACCACGAGAAGGAGCCGCCCAGCAUGCUAGCAAUCGUGAAAGGUGUGAUAGCACUCAAUUUAGUCUCCUGAAUACAAACAAUAGACGCCCUCGAGUCGGACACCAAAGAGCGCAGAGCUUCGCGACGGGAACGAGCGUUCAGACCGCGGACAUUCCACACCAGCAUAUUAAUAUUUGCAACUUCCAUUAGAAAACGUAGCCCCAGUCAGCAGGAUACAACAGUAGCGCAGCGUUAGACGCUGAUCACCUCAGAUUGGCUCACCAGGUGCCUAAGCUGGGCGUCAGUGAGACCGUUAGCCAUUGGAAGGAUGUCACGGAGUGCAGCAAAAUGCUGGGGCUGCACAGAGGACGACAGGAACUUAUCAAAGUUGCGGGGAGUGGCGCAGUUGUCAUCAGCAUCCUGGGACAGAACUCCCAAUUUCUUCAUGGCGAGGAUCUCUCCCUUACGGGAAGGGCGAACAGCAGCAUUGAGCGGUUUGGUGGCGAGCCGGUUGCUACGGCGGGGCGUCUCUUUAAUGAUGGGCGGCGCCACUUGGGUCCGGGGACAUUCUGCCAGCGGGGGAUCCAGGGGCAUUCGAACACUAUGGAGGAAGGCCUCAGUUCUCGCCCGCGCCACCACGGAGGAAGAGGGGGAUGGUGGUAACUCCAACUGUGGUUCCGAAGGCGAAGUCAUCUCCUGCGUCGGCGGCACCUGCUCAGACGGAGAGGGAUCCGCCAGCAACACCGGCGAGCGACGAGGACGCCUGGAAUACGUGCAGGGAGGGGUCGGAUGCUCCCAGGCCUGCAUAACUCCCAGCUCAUCCGAAACCGGCGACUGGUCCCUCGGCAACAAAGAUACAAUAGUAGUUUCAAGCAACAUUGGAUCAUCACGAGGCGGGGGUGAAGAAGACGAAGUGGACGGGAACAAGUCGGGUGAGAGGUCCACUGGAGGGCGCGUGUCAAGGCGACCUAGUCCCCGAUGCUCACCACCCUGCGGUGCCACAGCAGCCGGGUGUGGCGGCGACUUGCAACGUACAGGGAGGCCAAACGCGCCCACACCGGGGUCCGGCCCUCCAAGAUGAGGUACGAGUGGUUGAGGCCGAGCAGAGGCCGCCGCCGGGCGCGCCGUCACAAGGGCUUCAGGCCGCCGCAGCGUCCGGGACGGCGGCGGCGCCGAAGAGACACGCCUGGUGCCAGAGCCCGAAGCAGCGACAUCGUCUCCGCCGAAGAAGGAGCCGUCCUCGAAACCUUGCCGCGUGGGGAAGCCGUGCAGCCGCGGUCCGACUCCGCCCCCUCCAGGGGCGAAACGGUCGGGGUCGCCAUCACGAUCAGACCCCCCAUCGCUGGACGGAGGUGAAGGGGAUGGAGUCGGCGAGCGCGAGCGGAAAUCCGUGACAUGGCGAAGCCGGAUGACGAUAUCGUAAAACAGUCCUUUCUUCAGCCUUAGGUAAGGCGGAAGGUUCCCCCAAAUACUCUGCAUCAUCGGGUCGUCGUAAGAUAUCUGCUGUUCAUGCUCUGCAAUCCAGAGCCUACAUCGCUUCGGGAUGCGGGCCGGGUCGUCAGUCCAUCCCUGCACCUUCAACAUCCGCCCGUCGCCGGGAGCAGACGCCACCUGCUCCACCCAGCAACCGGGAGCAAGGAUUUUCCUCGCUGUGCGGGCGCACCAGGCGUGCGCGGGGAUGCCAUCCAGCUCCAGAGACACACGAAAGAGGCAAGAGCCGGCGUUCGCCCGGACCAGCCGUGUCCAGGGGCGGAGGGAGAAGCGGAGGUCGCCAACCUGCACGAACCGCGCAUCCAUAGCCGCGUCCCUGGCGCGCUGCGACGUGAAGGAGACCAGAAAACUCUCGGGCCAGAAUUGGCGCACCGAGAAGUUGUCGGACCCAGCCACCGGCAAUUCAGCAAUCGCGCGGCGAAAUCCCUCAAUCGGCAGAUCCGCCGGAGCACCUGGAGCCGCCGCCAGAAGAGAGAACCGCAGGCGCUCCUCCUCCGCAUCCAUAGCAGCAUCUCUAGAUAGGAAGCAGGUGACUUCCCCGGGGCGGCAAUCAGGGUGACCGGGAGGGAAGUCGUUGAAGAAGAGCUCGUUGCCGAUGUCGUCAUCAGAGGGGGUGCCAGAGCCCGACGGCCCUUCGUGAAGCGGGGGCCGCGGCGGGUUCAGCUGCAGCGAUGACGCGGUCAUGGAUCCACGCGGGUGGGAGGUAGCAUUGCCCUCCCCCGCAACCGACCGGGGGGGCGGGGCGUCCGCCGAGCGAGCUCCAGGGAGAGGCGGUGAGGGAGUGCGGCCGCCGGCGUCGCGCCCACGAGGCGUCGGAGGGGAAUCCCGCCGGGCACGCACGAAGCAGCGCUCGUCCCCAACGCCGGAGGAGGCGGAGCUGACCGGGCUGCGCGGUCGCUUGCAAUCGCGGGCGAGGUGCCAGAACCCGUGACACCGGAAGCAACGGAUGGGGCGACGACAUUGGGCAAUGAGGUGACUGAAGGAAAGGCAGUUGAGGCAUCGACCAUUGAGCUCCGGCGGGAUGCCCUUCGCCGCAGGUCGGGGAUUGAGGGCCUCCAAGAACUGGCGCUGCGCCCGGCGUUGACGCCGACGCCUCCUGGACCGGGUGCGGCGACUCUCCGCUGUAGUCCAACCCUCGUCCGCCGCAGCAUUGGGCGGAGGCAGAGGAGCGGCUGCAGAUCGAACAGCCGGGGGGGCGUGGCCUCGUGGAGGGGGCCCGGGGGCCACAGAGGUCUGGCCGCGGCGCCCAAUGGGGCGGCGGCCGGCACCUCGCGGCCCAGGGGCGACGUCCCUUGCCGGGGGAGGGAGGCACGGGGGAGGCGCGGUGGGGUGGGAUGGGGGGGGGAGCCUUGACAGGUGGGGGGGGGGGGGGCGGCGGGCUGGAUAAGAGGAUGUCGCGGUAGGACGGUCGCGGGGAUCCUCCGUAGGAGGACGAGUCAGAUCCGGACUCGUCCCUCCAUCGGACCUGCUUGCCCCGACCGCCGGAAGUCCCCCCGGGGAAGAAGGGUUCCGCGCGGGGGGAGAGCCUUCGGGACGGGGAGGGGGAUCCUCCCAAAGUGGGGCUGGUGGUCACCGGUGCCGGAGUGGCCGCCGGUGAGGGGUGGUCGUGGGGACCGGGGGCGGCGCUCAACGGGGAGCGCGGGGAGCGGAGCGAAGCGAGAGCCAUCGAUAAUGCUUGGCCGUGUUUAUGACAUCGCACUUUAUAAUCGCCCAACAGGCCUUGUAAAAUGCCCCAGUGAAGCCAUCCGGUCCCGGUGCCUUGUCCGAUGGUAUGUCUAGUAUUGCAUGUUUAAUUUCCUCCUCCGUGAAAGGUUCGGCGAGGGAGCUGAGGUCCAGACUGGGGAGAUUUAUGCUGUCCCAGUUAACGUCCUGUGAUCGUUGUCCCGUCGGUCCCAUUAUCGUAGCGAAGUGGUCUUGAAUUAUGUUGACUUUUUCUUCGUAAUUGAAGACCCAAAUGGAUCCUUGUUUUAGUCGUUGAAUGUAGUUUUUCUUCUUCCUUCCAUUAACCCUCCGAUGGAAGUAUUUGGUAUUAGCAUCACCUAAUUUGAUAUUCGUAAUGUGUGAUGCUUGUUUCCGUCUGACCCUUUCAACCACCUCUAGGCCGAGGAUUCUUCGCUUAAGUUUUUGCUGCAGGUUCAAUUCGUCCCUGGUGAGGGCUCUAUGCUCUUGCGCCAUAUCUAAUCUGAGGACGACAUCACACGCCAUGAGAAGCUACAUCUUGGCAUCCGGGUAAAAGUUGUGGCUCCAGGCUCUAAGCAUUUGGGAAGUUUCCCGUAACUUGUGAUACAGGCGGUGAAAAGUCUCGUGGUGAGCGCAGGGCUUACUCCAAGCUUCGACUACUACCUCCUUGAAGCGUGGCAAUCUCAGCCAAAACGCCUCGAACUGGAAUGUCCUUGGCCGUCAUGGUCCACUUUGAUUGGAAAGGAGUAGUGGGCAGUGAUCCAAGUGUGAUGUUGAAAGUGCAUGUAGAGCGUGGGAGGCAAAUAAGGCAUCACCUUCCGUAUUACAGAACAUUCGGUCGAGUCUGACAAGCGUCGGAUUUUGUUGCUCAUUGCUCCAUGUGAAGUGGCGGUUCUGAAGUGGAAUUUCCUUGAGCUCGCAAUCACUAAUCGCCUCCCUGAAUAGACUCAUCAUUCUAGUAUUUAGCCUAGAAUUGUUCUUGUCCGCGGCUCUGUAUAUGAGGUUAAAAUCCCCCAUAAUAAUUCACGGUGUCCCACUGGAAGGCUUAAGUGUUAGCAUUUCUUGUAAGAAGGCUCUCUUUUGCCCCUGACUGGAUGGUCCGUAGACAUUUGACAGUCUGAAGGUUUCGCCAUCAUGUAGUGAAAUAGAGGCUGAUAAGUGAAACAUCCCCACGGUAAUCUGUGAGACCUGCACUACCCUCUCAUCCCACAGUAUCAGCAGUCCUCCUCUUGUACCUGAAGCUCCUGUGGCUGGCGCGAAAGCGGUUUUGGUUAGCCUGUACCCACCCAAGUAAGACGCGGUGAAGUCAUCUAUCUGUGCAAGCUUGGUUUCCUGGAAACAUGCAAUGGCGCACGUCGUGUUGGCCACAAUCUGGUGAACUACAUCCUUACGGGCUUGCUGAUUAAGACCCCGUACAUUCCAACAUAAUACAUCAACGUCGGGGCCGAUCAUCUGAAACAGCACGGCGCUUCUCAGUGUUCUUCAGGCCUAAACGGCCGAAGCAUUCAAACCCCUGCUGACGGCCGAAAGACGCACAGAGAGUGUCACAGAGCAAUGAAGAUGACUUGCAAAAUAUCAGUUGCAACAUGUUUUGCAGCUUGAAAUUACAAGCAUAUUGAAUAAGUCUUGCAACAUGUUGAAGGCGUACAGGAAGUCUUGCAACACACAGCCACCAUCUGAACAUGUUUUGCAGCUUGAAAUUACAACCACAUUGAAUAAGUGUUGCAACAUGUUGACCUGACAAGAUGAAUCAGUAUGCUGCUGUUGGAAAAGAAAAGGACAGCAAAGUAUUUGUAGAUUAGAUUAUACCUUUUUCUGAAUAUUCACUAUCAGGCACUCGUUUAGAUGAUGUGUGCCAAUAGGUUACCAUCCCUAAUUUUCAGCACAUUAGGUUUUCAGUGCUUAAGUGGCGCUUUCCAGAAGUUGUCAGAACUCAGAAAUGACAUAUCAACUUCUGCUGGCAUUCUGAGUACGUAGUGAUUUCUCUGCUGAUAUGUCAUUUCUGAUGAAAAUAACUAUGUAUUGUGAAUAUUUUUUCAUGAUGACUAGUGGCAUGCUGCAAAUUUACGUAAUUAUCCUAUGGAGUAACGUGUGUGCGCUUUUAUGUCCAAUAGUGUUGAUUCAAUGGGUAUAAUAGUUCAUUUAACACAAUCUUCUACCCAUACCCCUUUUCCAGGUGUAAACCAACACAUGGCUACCAGUUUACCAGAAUGAGGAGGAGAUUCUUGGUUGCUGGCAAAAAUUAGCAUUCCUUCCAUUAUGCUUUUGACUCCUACAGUACCUUUGUAGUGUGUAGUACUUAAGUUACUAUUGUUGUUUACAAAUCUUUAUCUGUGUGCUGCAUUCUCGCACUGCUGAAUUGUUGCAAUGUGGAUUUUUACACAUUUAGUAUACAUUCCCUCCAUCCCAAAUUAUAAAGUCGUUUUGGGUUUUCUAGGUUCAUACAUUUUACUAUGCAUUUAGACAUAAUAUAUAUCUAGUGCAUAGCAAAAACCUAUGAAUCCUCUUCAUUCAAGAAAAUAGGUACUCCUGAAAAUGAGGCUUUGGUGCAUCAUCAGUUCAUCGCAGGCGUUGGCGUGACUGCAUCGAGCCAUCGAAUACGUAUGUUGUGUAGGCAACUUGGGCCGUGCACUUGAUCUUGCAUGUUGGGCUGGUCUAUGCAAAGUAUGAAUGAAGUGGUCCGUCCGAAAUCCUUUUCAAAAUUUUUGCAUGUAUGCAGAGAUGGCGAGUGCGACUGGGGGGUACUGACCGAGAACACUUGGAUGGCCUGAUGACCCAAGUGCGGGGAUGGACGGAAGACUUUCUGGAAAAGCUGAAGGAUCAACCACCUGGAGAAUCGUUUAUCUGAAGAAUCUGUGUCUUUACUUUCUUAUAUCUCUGUGUGGUAGAAGUUUGUUUGCUGUAGUGUCGAGGGUUGAGCUCGUGUGCUCUCUUCUGCUCGUUAUCUGUAAGCUGGUAUCCCCAGUGUGUCGCAAGGUCUGUAACCCAAACCUUAUUGGCUUUCUAUAAAAGCAGGGUGAACCCUUUUUCAAAAAAAAAAAGUGGUCCGUCUUUGAACUGGGCCGUAUUGAUCGUGGUCAGGGUCGAAAUGACAAAUGAGUCAGCAUUCAAACACAGACAGAUCGUCUUUUCGGUUUCUUCUUGUGCGGGAGUUUUCAGUUUUGAGUCCAUAGCAAUUAGCAAAACCCCAACCUUUUUCGGAUUCACUGAAAAAAAAAACUUAUUUAGGCCUAACUCCCACACUCCCAAACAAAGUGCACGCUCCGAUUCAUAGACUGCAACGACGAGACCCGGGUGGUCUCCUAUGUUGAGCCCGGCGAAUAUAUGCUGCUGUGGUGGCAGGUCUUCACGAUCCUCUAGGAUCGUCCACCAUGAAAGACACCAUGAUUGGCCCGGACACAAGCACAAGUGAAAGGUGACGAGAGAAACCAUAGCACAUCGAUCGGCCCAGGCACUAGCACGACGAUGAAGGCCUAGAUCGAGUCAGCAUGCCGUAUACGGGGAUAGGGAUCGAUUCGAUCCCUCCGCUCCCCUCCAAUCUCCAUGAUAUGUUCAACUGAGAGGAGAAAGGUUAUUCUCCAUAGCUAGGAGCGAAGACAUGAUGAGUGUGUCUCCUGUGACUGCAGCCACUUACAAAGGGACAUUCUGGAGAUCAUUUGCAGUGUACGACUGUCGAUAUGAUCGAUCUCCUGGUAGAAUUUUCUUUUCUGACCGAGGAUAUUUCUGCUGAUAGGCACAUGAUUAGGUAAUUUCCUUUCGGGAACAUGACAAAAGAAAAAGGAAGUGCUUCCUCUGUUGAGCCGUGCAAGCGCCUCAUCUAACCGAAGGAGAGCUAUGAAUGAUCUAGUCAUGGAGGUCCACCGACCACCAGGAGGACAAGAACGUGUUCUCAGGUAACAUUUUUAUUUUGAAAAGCUUAGCAGGAGCACUGCUGAUUCAUUUAAUACGCUGAUUCAUUUAAGAAGUACGAUAAGUUCAAUAUUACAUAAAUAACUCUCUUAACUGUAACAUUAAUGAUAACAUGGAUACACUAACCUAAAUCAAGGUUCCCACAUGCUCUCUUGCGCCAAUUGAUGUCCUCUUGGAUCAUGGCAAAAACUUGGUGAGGCUGCAAACUUCUUCCUUCAAAGACUCGCCGGUUUGGAUCAUGGCAAAAACUUGGUGAGGCUGCAAACUUCUUCCUUCAAAGACUCGCCGGUUUCGCUCCUUCCAUAUGUUCCAUGCUGUGAAUAUGAGAUAGGCUACCACCGAUCUUCUUUGCUUCUUGUUGAACGGUGACAAGGACCGUUUCCACCAUUCUUCAACAUCCACCAAGUCAUCCUCCAGCAUUUUGAUUUGUCCUCCAGUCCAGUUACUUACUAAAAGCCAUACUUCCUUUGCAAAACUACACUGUAAACACAAAUGUAUCGCAGUCUUGGCCUCCUGAUCACAUAGUGCACACUGGGUCUCACAUUGCCAAUUUCUGGCAAUCAUCUUAUUAGCGGUCAGGAUUUUACUUUGAACUAGGAGCCACGCAAAAAACUUAUGCUUUCCUUCCGCAUGAGCUUGCCAGACUGCCUCUCCAUCAAAUGUGCUAUAGGUUCCAUUCAGUCGUGCAAUGUAAGUUGAUCUUGAAGUGUAAGAACCAUCGGCUGUCCAUUUCCAUUUAAUUGUAUCCUCCUGGUCACUGAGAUGCACAUUCUGCACCAAAUCCCAUAGGGUGACGAACUCCGCCAUCUGCUGCACUGAGUUUAUACGCCACAACCCUCUUGUCCAAUUUUGAUCAGUUAUGUCUUCUCUUACAGUCUUGUUUUUCUCCAUGCAAGCUUAUACAAACUUGGUGCUAUAUCUCUCGGCGCUCGACCAUCAAUCCAAGAAUGCUGCCAGAAUUUUGCUUGGUUUCCAUUUUCCAAAAUUACAGUCGUGCUUGCCUGAACAACUAUUUGUCAACUUCAUCACAAGGUGUGGUUGUUCCAACCCAUGGCCUGUCAGUGUGGUUGUGUCCAUUCAUACUUUAUAACCAAUGUAGUUGAAAAGCCCGACUAAAUAUGUUUAGGUCAAGGAUGCCUAGUCCACCUAAUUCCUUUGGCAAAGUUGCCUUCUGCCAUUUCAUCAAACAAUGGCCUCCACUGGCAUGCUCAGCCUUUCCACAAGAAAUUCCUUCUGAUCUCGUCUAUCUUUUUUAGAGCCUAUUUCUUUAGUGCAAAAACUGUGAUGAAGUAGAUUGGCAUCGAGGUUAACACUGAUCGGACCAAGGUGAGCCUUCCUAAUUUAUCCAAUAAUUUUCCUUUCCAUGUAGGCAGCUUAGCUGCAACUCUAUCAAUUAGUGGCUGCACUUCCAUUCUCUUCAGUUUUCUCAAACUAAGUGGUAGUCCUAGGUACUGACAAGGAAAGCUUUUGACUUGGCAUGAAAAGCUCUGUAGUAUGUCAUCUACAUCUAUGUUUUCACACCGAAUUGGGUAAGCAGCACUUUUGUCCAGGUUUAUGUGUAGUCCUGACACUCGUCUAAAUGCAUCAAAGAUUUUUCUAAUCUUCUCAAUUUCUUUCUUCACUGGAUUCACAAACACCGCAGCAGCAUCAGCAUACAGGCUUAUUCUAAUCUUGCUCGCCCUAUUCUGAACAGGUGACAAUGCAGCCUGACGUUCAGCCAUUCUUAGCAGCAUCUGUAGUGGCUCAAGAGCAAUAAUGAAGAGCAUUAGUGAUAGUGGAUCUCCUUGAUGAAGUCCAGUUCUAUGCUUAAAUUUUCUUGUUUGUGAUUUAUUUAUCAGUACCGAGGAUGUUGCUCUGACAGUAUCAAACGCCUUUGCAAUAUCUAACUUGAGAAAGAGUGUUGACCUCUUUGCCUUAUGGAGAUCUCUGAUAAGAUUCCGAGUGUAAAGAAAAUUAUCAUGAAUACUUCUUCUUUUUAUGAAAGCACUUUGAUUCCUAGACACCAGAUCACUGAGACACUGUGCUAGCCUUGUUGCCAGUAUCUUGGAUAUAAUUUUUGCAACAUUGCUUGUUAGGCUUAUGGGCCUGUAAUCGGCCACCUUCUUUGAUUCAACCUUCUUUGGGAUCAUAACAAUGAGUGCUGAAUUUAGAGUAUUAAAGUGCUGACUAUGCUGGUUGUAGAAAUAUUGUACAGCUUGCUUCAAAUCAUCUUUGAUAAUGUCCCAACAACUCUUGAAGAACUUCCUAAUAAAACCAUCUGGCCUAGGUGCCUUUUCAGAUUGCAUAUCCAUGAUGACCCCCUUAAUUUCUUCCUCUAUGAAGUCCUCCUCCAGGAAUUGUAGAUCAUGCCUUUGGAUGUUCAAUGCUUCCCAAUUUAGAGUUUCAGUUCUGAUAGCCUUAUUUCCAAACAAUGUUUGGAAGUGAUCUAGCACUACUUGUUCCUUAUCCUUCUGAAGGUGUACCAUUCCAUGUGAUGUUUCUAUGGUCUGAAUAAAAUUUUUCCUCUUCCUACCAUUCACUCCUAGAAAGAAGAAUUUUGAAUUUGAAUCUCCUGCUUUGAUAUAAGUGAGUCUGGAUUGCUGUCUAUAUCUUAACUUCUCAAUGGCCGUCAGUGCUAGGUAUCUAUUUUUAGAUCUCUUUUAAGAAGUAACUCAUCAUUGCUCAGUGCUCUAUGCUCUUGCACCACAUCAAGAAUCCCAAUCAGUUGUCUUGCUGCUAGCAGAAGAAGUUUGUUGUUCCCAAUCUUCGCCUUAGCCUAAGCUCUCAAUCUCUUUGUCGUUCUCUACAUUUUAGUAUGCAACUUCAGGAAGGUGUUAUGUAUGGUAAUUUGUUUGUUACAGGUGUUACUGACUUCCUCCUUAAAUCCUCUUAUUUGGGUCCAGAAUGCCUCAAAUCUAAAAUCCUUGUAAGUUGUCAGAGUAUUGUCACAUGUGAGUAAUAGUGGGCAAUGGUCAGAUACCAAUGCGGAUAUGACCUGUAGCAUACAAUUUGGUAGCAUAGUCUCCCAAUCAGUAGUGCAGAAAACCCUAUCAAUAUGAGUGUGAGUAACAUUAUUUGUCCAUGUAUACUUCCUGCCUCUGAGGUUGAAUUCUUUCAAUUCAAGAUCAUCAACUGCACUUCUGAAUGUCCCCGUGAUUCUUCUGUUCAGAUUGUCAUUGCUCUUGUCUUGUGCAUUUAAGAUCAUGUUAAAGUCACCAAGCAUCACCCAUUUGUCUUAUGUCAACAACUUAAUUUCCCUUAUCUCAUUUAGAAAUUCAAGCUUUGCAUUGUCUUCUUGAGGUCCAUAUACCACCGUGAUCCACCAUUGUACUGGUGUCAUUGUGGCCUCUAAACAUGCUGUGACAGAGUUUGUUUUGCAAAA